RNAcentral lists this ribosomal RNA (165 nucleotides) under Oxalis corymbosa. Its description in RNAcentral is "5.8S rRNA". It matches the Rfam family "5.8S ribosomal RNA". From Rfam's summary of the family: 5.8S ribosomal RNA (5.8S rRNA) is a component of the large subunit of the eukaryotic ribosome. It is transcribed by RNA polymerase I as part of the 45S precursor that also contains 18S and 28S rRNA. Functionally, it is thought that 5.8S rRNA may be involved in ribosome translocation. The record is from RNAcentral. RNAcentral also lists the same sequence under 1 other name. Lineage: Eukaryota; Viridiplantae; Streptophyta; Magnoliopsida; Oxalidales; Oxalidaceae.
AAAAUGACUCUCGGCAACGGAUAUCUCGGCUCUCGCAUCGAUGAAGAACGUAGCGAAAUGCGAUACUUGGUGUGAAUUGCAGAAUCCCGUGAACCAUCGAGUUUUUGAACGCAAGUUGCGCCCCAAGCCUUUAGGCCGAGGGCACGCCUGCCUGGGUGUCACACA